UGCAAGUCGAACGCACCUUCGGGUGAGUGGCGGACGGGUGAGUAACGCGUGGGAACCUGCCCUCAGGAGGGGGAUAACGGCUGGAAACGGCCGCUAAUACCCCAUAUGCCGAGAGGUGAAAUGAAUUUCGCCUGAGGAUGGGCCCGCGUCUGAUUAGCUAGUUGGUGGGGUAAAGGCCUACCAAGGCGACGAUCAGUAGCUGGUCUGAGAGGAUGAUCAGCCACACUGGGACUGAGACACGGCCCAGACUCCUACGGGAGGCAGCAGUGGGGAAUUUUCCGCAAUGGGCGAAAGCCUGACGGAGCAACGCCGCGUGAGGGAUGAAGGCCUCUGGGCUGUAAACCUCUUUUCUCAAGGAAGAAGAUCUGACGGUACUUGAGGAAUAAGCCACGGCUAAUUCCGUGCCAGCAGCCGCGGUAAUACGGGAGUGGCAAGCGUUAUCCGGAAUUAUUGGGCGUAAAGCGUCCGCAGGUGGCCCUGUAAGUCUGUCGUUAAAGCGUGGAGCUUAACUCCAUUUAAGCGAUGGAAACUACAGGGCUAGAGUGUGGUAGGGGCAGAGGGAAUUCCCGGUG
This 572-nucleotide ribosomal RNA is filed under the name uncultured bacterium. RNAcentral describes it as "bacterial SSU rRNA". It matches the Rfam family "Bacterial small subunit ribosomal RNA", at positions 56 to 675 of the family's 1533-position model. The record is from RNAcentral.